RNAcentral lists this ribosomal RNA (350 nucleotides) under uncultured bacterium. RNAcentral's name for it is "bacterial SSU rRNA". It matches the Rfam family "Bacterial small subunit ribosomal RNA", at positions 355 to 697 of the family's 1533-position model. The record is from RNAcentral.
UGGGGAAUAUUGGACAAUGGGGGCAACCCUGAUCCAGGCAUGCCGCGUGUGUGAAGAAGGCCUUCGGGUUGUAAAGCACUUUAGGUAAGGAAGAAAAGUUAUUGGUUAAUACCCAAUAACCAUGACAUUACUUACAGAAUAAGGACCGGCUAACUCCGUGCCAGCAGCCGCGGUAAUACGGAGGGUCCAAGCGUUAAUCGGAAUUACUGGGCGUAAAGCGCGCGUAGGCGGUUUGACAAGUUGGGUGUGAAAUCCCCGGGCUUAACCUGGGAACUGCAUUCAAAACUUUUAAACUGGAGUACGGGAGAGGAGAGUAGAAUUCAUGGUGUAGCGGUGAAAUGCGUAGAUAU